This is a non-coding RNA of Oryza meridionalis, 199 nucleotides long. Lineage: Eukaryota; Viridiplantae; Streptophyta; Magnoliopsida; Poales; Poaceae. The record is from Rfam.
AAUAAGUGUGGUUUUACACUGUUCGUAUCUAAUGUUUAACUGUACGUCUUAUUAGAAAUUUUUUAGAUUAGUAUUUGUAUUGUUGCUAGAUGAUAAAAUACGAAUACUAAUACUUUAUGUGUGACUAUUUUUUAUAAUUUUUUUUUAAAUAAGACAGAUGGUUAAACGUUGGGGACAGAUACCCACGACUGCACUUAUU